Molecule: ribosomal RNA, 489 nt
Filed under: uncultured bacterium
Lineage: Bacteria
Description: partial 16S ribosomal RNA
Rfam family: Bacterial small subunit ribosomal RNA
Source: RNAcentral
GACGAACGCUGGCGGCGUGCUUAACACAUGCAAGUCGAACGGUGAAGGGAUCAGCUUGCUGGUUCUGGAUGAGUGGCGAACGGGUGAGUAACACGUGAGUAACCUGCCCCCUUCUUCUGGAUAACCGCAUGAAAGUGUGGCUAAUACGGGAUAUUCUGGGUCUGUCGCAUGAUGGGUCUGGGAAAGAUAUUGUUUCGGUGGGGGAUGGGCUCGCGGCCUAUCAGCUUGUUGGUGGGGUGAUGGCCUACCAAGGCGGUGACGGGUAGCCGGCCUGAGAGGGUGGACGGUCACACUGGGACUGAGACACGGCCCAGACUCCUACGGGAGGCAGCAGUGGGGAAUAUUGCACAAUGGGCGCAAGCCUGACGCAGCGACGCCGCGUGAGGGAUGGAGGCCUUCGGGUUGUAAACCUCUUUCGCCAGUGAAGCAGGCCUGCUCCUUGUGGGUGGGUUGACGGUAGCUGGAUAAGAAGCGCCGGCUAACUACGUG